RNAcentral lists this unclassified non-coding RNA (1573 nucleotides) under Leishmania donovani. Its description in RNAcentral is "gene:LdHU3.32.3390(CDS-product:hypothetical_prote in_conserved)". Lineage: Eukaryota; Euglenozoa; Kinetoplastea; Trypanosomatida; Trypanosomatidae. The record is from RNAcentral.
GUACACACGCGCACACGCCCACUUGCAGCACCAUGAACCUGCUGCACUUGGUGCAGACGUCGUACGAGCCGGGUGCGUACAUCAUGGACGGCUGUCUGUGCAACGGCAGCUCCUCCUUGGCGCUGUCCCUCUCCACCCAGGCCAUCCGCCUCUACGACACGCAGGCGGCUACAUUUCUGGGAGAUAUCAAGGAGCACACGCAGCCAAUCCAAGACCUUGUGGCCACUCCUGCUCAGCCUAGCAUGCUUUACUCUUGCCAGCGCGACUGCGGGGUCAUGGUCACGGACCUGCGCCAGGCACGAGCUGUACACUUUUUGUGUGACAUGUGCAGUAGCGGUGCGGUCUCCAGUAGCAUUGGGGUCACGCCAUCCGCGCCGCUUCUCGCCAUCGCGGCGGACCGCGACAUCCACCUGGUCGACACGCGGACCUGGUGCUCCGUGAAGUGCCUAGAUCAGCUGCACGUAGAUGAGGUCUCACGGCUGCGCUUUCUCGACGACAAAAUUCUCUGCUCCGCUGGCGAGGAUCAGAUGAUCAACUUCCUUUCAGUGGAGGAGGGGGUGAUAGACGAUGAUGUGCUUCUGCAGGCGGUGAACUGCGGCGAGGUGGUCACUAAAAUGAGCUGCUUUCCCGAGCUUGGCGUUAUGACGAUGGUGGGAAGUUGCGAGAACGGCUAUGUCUUUCCCCACGACCUGGAACAGCGGGAGACGCGUCAUGGGCGGCCGAGCUUCGAGAUGUACCUGGUCGACUGGUGCGUGGUGUCCGGCCAGCUGCAUCUCGUCUCCGGCGUGCGAGACAACAGCGGCGACGCUGGCCCACUGCAGGUGCUGAACUGGGCGACUGGGCAGACGCAGGUCCUGCCCAAGGUGCACAAGGAGCUCGGUCGUGUCGCCAUCGGCUUCGGCAACCGCCUCAUCACCGGUGGUGAGGACGGCAUGUUGGCGUACUGGAAGCACGGCGACUUGCUGCCGUCCGAGAUCGCCACGUCCGUCGGGUACAGCGCACAUCGCACGGGAUGCGGGAAGGUCUUCGCGAGCAGCCGAACGCACGAAGGUCAGGACAGCGGUGGGUGCGGUGGCGGACGCGUUGGCGGUCGAGGUAGCGGCGGCCCUCACCGAGGUGGUGGCGGCCGGCCCUACUGAGGUGCAGUGGCGCAGCGUGACACCCCUGCGUCCAUCGAAGCGCUCCACACUCUGUGAGCGCGGAGCUGCCUACAGGAACACAGUCGGAGCUGCUUGUCGCGUGACGUGCGUCUAACACGCGAAGCUACUAAAGCGCACACAAGCAAACGAAAGAGGAAAAAAAAACAAGAUAUUAGGAUGACACACACACACACACACACACACACACACACACACACACAGAGGCACGGCGUGUGACGUGACCGCAGCGUGCCUUUGUUGGUGUAGCCGUGCUUGUGCGCGGGUGGUCACCAUAUGCGUGGUGCACUCAGCAUCGAGGGAAGUGAACUCUUCGUUUCUUUCAGCUCCUGUUGCAUGCCGUGGACAUAGUCCGCUGCGCGGAAGUGCCUCGCGCCUUUUCCAACGCUGCCCAGUACACUCCUCGCGUCUCCUGU